RNAcentral lists this long non-coding RNA (706 nucleotides) under Struthio camelus australis. Its description in RNAcentral is "lncRNA (ENSSCUG00000007429.1)". The record is from RNAcentral. Lineage: Eukaryota; Metazoa; Chordata; Aves; Struthioniformes; Struthionidae.
UGAGAGGUUUCGGUGCCUCUCCGAGAGGGUGCACCUGACACAGCUGUGUGUGCAGGCUGGAUGUUAGGCACACAGCCUGCAUGAAGCUGCAACAUGUUGUUUCACGCCACAUCAACUAUUCAUGUUAUCUUUUGCUUCUGUAUCCAACGCUGUAGAUAAAUCACUGAAGCCUUCUCUGUUCAACUCGUAGCAAGUCCAAGACAGAUAAAGCUUUUCCCACACAGACCUUCAACAACAGACCUUCACCAAGUAAAGCAGGCAUCCUGAGGAGAAUUCGAUUGUGUUAUGAAACACAUAGCAAACGGAGAAAAACAGGCUUUCCUAGUGAAGAAUUCAGAGUGGCUAAGUUAUGCACGGAAUUGGGAUUUUUCUCCCUAGUAGAAAAAACAAGGAAGGUGAGUUCUUUUAGGAUGAAGUUAGUGUUUAUGACUUGGUCAGGUUGGCUUUUUUUAUUCAAAAUGUUAAAACAAAAAUUGAAAGAAGUCAUCAGACUUGACUGUGUGUGUCUGUGUGUGUACAGCAAAUGUAAUCCACUUGACAAAAAUCCUCUAUUUUGAGAGGCAGAAGAAUUUUUGACCUUCCUCUAGGAAAUAUCUGAAGUGUGUGAGAGGGGAGAAGAGUUCUUCUCUUGCUUAAGUAUCAACUGUGUGAAUUAUUGAUAAUAUGAAAGAUCAGGCUGCAUUUUGGGUAGUUAUGACUUCUAAAU